RNAcentral lists this ribosomal RNA (508 nucleotides) under uncultured bacterium. RNAcentral's name for it is "bacterial SSU rRNA". It matches the Rfam family "Bacterial small subunit ribosomal RNA", at positions 16 to 518 of the family's 1533-position model. The record is from RNAcentral.
AUUCUGGCUCAGGAUGAACGCUAGCGGCAGGCUUAACACAUGCAAGUCGAGGGGCAUCGGGAGUAGCAAUACUGCCGGCGACCGGCGCAAGGGUGCGUAACGCGUGAGCAACAUGCCCGUAUCAGGGGGGAUAAUCCAUGGAAACGUGGUCUAAUACCCCAUAGUAAUUAUGUAAGGCAUCUUAUAUAAUUUAAAGCUUUGGUGGAUACGGAUUGGCUCGCGUGACAUUAGCUGGAUGGUAAGGUAACGGCUUACCAUGGCUACGAUGUCUAGGGGUUCUGAGAGGAAGGUCCCCCACACUGGAACUGAGACACGGUCCAGACUCCUACGGGAGGCAGCAGUGAGGAAUAUUGGACAAUGGAUGGAAAUCUGAUCCAGCCAUGCCGCGUGCAAGGAAGACGGCCCUAUGGGUUGUAAACUGCUUUUGUAUGGGAGCAAUAAGGGCUACGUGUAGUCCGAUGAGAGUACCAUACGAAUAAGCACCGGCUAACUCCGUGCCAGCCGCGGC